RNAcentral lists this ribosomal RNA (444 nucleotides) under uncultured bacterium. Its description in RNAcentral is "bacterial SSU rRNA". It matches the Rfam family "Bacterial small subunit ribosomal RNA", at positions 28 to 452 of the family's 1533-position model. The record is from RNAcentral.
GACGAACGCUGGCGGCGUGCCUAACACAUGCAAGUCGAACGGAACUGUUUUGAAAGAUUUCUUCGGAAUGAAUUUGAUUUAGUUUAGUGGCGGACGGGUGAGUAACGCGUGAGUAACCUGCCUUCAAGAGGGGGAUAACAUUCUGAAAAGAAUGCUAAUACCGCAUGACAUAUCGGAACCACAUGGUUCUGAUAUCAAAGAUUUUAUCGCUUGAAGAUGGACUCGCGUCCGAUUAGUUAGUUGGUGAGGUAACGGCUCACCAAGACCGCGAUCGGUAGCCGGACUGAGAGGUUGAACGGCCACAUUGGGACUGAGACACGGCCCAGACUCCUACGGGAGGCAGCAGUGGGGGAUAUUGCGCAAUGGGGGCAACCCUGACGCAGCAACGCCGCGUGAAGGAUGAAGGUUUUCGGAUUGUAAACUUCUUUUAUUAAGGACGAAACU